AGCUAACCACGGUAGGGUCAGCGACUGGGGUGAAGUCGUAACAAGGUAGCCGUAGGGGAACCUGCGGCUGGAUCACCUCCUUUCUAAGG
This 89-nucleotide ribosomal RNA is filed under the name Agrobacterium fabrum. Its description in RNAcentral is "partial 16S ribosomal RNA". It matches the Rfam family "Bacterial small subunit ribosomal RNA", at positions 1451 to 1533 of the family's 1533-position model. Lineage: Bacteria; Pseudomonadati; Pseudomonadota; Alphaproteobacteria; Hyphomicrobiales; Rhizobiaceae. The record is from RNAcentral.